CCUACGGGUGGCAGCAGUGAGGAAUAUUGGUCAAUGGGCGAGAGCCUGAACCAGCCAAGUCGCGUGAAGGAUGACGGCCCUACGGGUUGUAAACUUCUUUUGUCCGGGAGCAAAUUGCUCCACGCGUGGACUUUGCUAGAGUACCUGUAGAAAAGGCAUCGGCUAACUCGGUGCCGCCAGCCGCGGUAUUACGGAGGAUGCGCGCGUUAUCCGUAUUUAUUGGUUUAAAGGGGUGCGUAGGCGGAAUAUAACUUCUGCGGUAAAGAUUCGGGCCUAAACCCCGUCGUGCCGUUGAAAAUGAUGUUCUUGAGUGGGCGAGAAGUAUGCGGAAUGCGUGGUGUAGCGGUGAAAUGCAUAGAGAUCACGAAGAACUCCGAUUGCGAAGGCAGCAUACCGGAGCCCAACUGACGCUGAAGCACGAAAGCGUGGGUAUCGAACAGGAUUAGAUACCCGAGUAGUC
RNAcentral lists this ribosomal RNA (460 nucleotides) under uncultured bacterium. RNAcentral's name for it is "partial 16S ribosomal RNA". It matches the Rfam family "Bacterial small subunit ribosomal RNA", at positions 338 to 795 of the family's 1533-position model. The record is from RNAcentral.